UCAUAAACUAGCUUAAUAGGUGCUUUCCGCUGAAUCUAGCGGAAGCUUAAUAGGGAAGUUCGGUUCAAUUCCGAUGCGGUCCCGCCACUGUAACGCUGAGCUAACAAUCAUAGCCACUCUCGAUAACAAGAGGGGAAGGAGAUUGUACAAGCGAUGAAGCGAAGCCAGGAGACCUGCCUGAUAAGUAAUUUAUUU
This 195-nucleotide non-coding RNA is filed under the name Paenibacillus sp. The record is from RNAcentral. Lineage: Bacteria; Bacillati; Bacillota; Bacilli; Caryophanales; Paenibacillaceae.